GUAUUGAUCACUUUGGCAGCACAUAUGCUAAAAAUGGAACGAUAUGGAGAAGAUUAGCAUGGCCUCUGUGCAAGGAUGACACAUAAAUACAUAAAGCAUUCCACAUUUUU
This is a small nuclear RNA of Sapajus apella (tufted capuchin), 110 nucleotides long. NCBI's taxonomy places the organism in Eukaryota, Metazoa, Chordata, Mammalia, Primates, Cebidae. The record is from RefSeq and is a predicted model, not a curated record.